UGGUUUAGAUUCAGGGGUUUUGAGGCAUUCCAUCUCUUAUCUGUAAUUUCAAUUUGUUCCGUUCAAUUUCAGUCUUCCGCGUACAAAUCAAAUAGAUCGGAGUUUUCCAGUUCUUUGCGAUAUUGUUUGUGAUUUCUGGAGAAACUUCAUAAUUUUCCGGUAAUUGCCGGCGAAGAUCAUAUCAUCUGGUAUCAGUUUCCGGGUUUCGUAAGGGUUACGCUAUCUAUAUAUUUACAACAAAAAAAAAAAAAACAGAGCACAAUCAACACGAUCUGUCGAAAAAAAAAAAAGACGAAAGCAGUACGUCUUAAAUUUGUGUUUACCCCGUUGUGUUUUCCUUCAUUCUUUGGGUUUAAUCGCUCGUUGUGGUAUUUGUAUGUUUCUGCGUAGCACUGAUUUUGGGUUCCAGUCUGCGUUUAGGCGUCUCUC
This 429-nucleotide long non-coding RNA is filed under the name Salvia miltiorrhiza (redroot sage). RNAcentral's name for it is "long non-coding RNA (SMIL_LNC001692)". The record is from RNAcentral. Lineage: Eukaryota; Viridiplantae; Streptophyta; Magnoliopsida; Lamiales; Lamiaceae.